Molecule: ribosomal RNA, 441 nt
Filed under: uncultured bacterium
Lineage: Bacteria
Description: bacterial SSU rRNA
Rfam family: Bacterial small subunit ribosomal RNA
Source: RNAcentral
AACGCGAAGAACCUUACCAACCUUUGACAUGGGGAUUUUGGUGAGCAGAGAUGUUCAUCUUCAGUUCGGCUGGGUCCCACACAGGUGCUGCAUGGCUGUCGUCAGCUCGUGUCGUGAGAUGUUGGGUUAAGUCCCGCAACGAGCGCAACCCUCAUCUUCAGUUGCCAUCAUUGAGUUGGGCACUCUGAAGAAACUGCCGGUGACAAGCCGGAGGAAGGUGGGGAUGACGUCAAGUCCUCAUGGCCCUUACGGGUUGGGCUACACACGUGCUACAAUGGCGGUGACAAUGGGCUGCAAGCCUGCAAGGGUGAGCUAAUCUCAAAAAGCCGUCUCAGUUCGGAUUGCACUCUGCAACUCGAGUGCAUGAAGUCGGAAUCGCUAGUAAUCGUGGAUCAGCAUGCCACGGUGAAUACGUUCCCGGGCCUUGUACACACCGGCUAC